UUUAACUUUCUUAACAACUCCUCCUCCACUGCCAAGUGUCCUCCUUCGGAACCUUUGUAGUUUGGUCUGGGAUGGCAUCCCCAGUCGCACUUGUUUUUUUUCAGCUGUGUGAGUGAUUUUAAACAGGUCUCUAG
This 134-nucleotide small nucleolar RNA is filed under the name Triticum aestivum (bread wheat). RNAcentral's name for it is "Small nucleolar RNA Z112". It matches the Rfam family "Small nucleolar RNA Z112", at positions 37 to 179 of the family's 184-position model. Rfam says of the family: Z112 is a member of the C/D class of snoRNA which contain the C (UGAUGA) and D (CUGA) box motifs. The record is from Rfam by way of RNAcentral. Lineage: Eukaryota; Viridiplantae; Streptophyta; Magnoliopsida; Poales; Poaceae.